Molecule: long non-coding RNA, 652 nt
Organism: Sesamum indicum (sesame)
Lineage: Eukaryota; Viridiplantae; Streptophyta; Magnoliopsida; Lamiales; Pedaliaceae
Source: RefSeq, a predicted model, not a curated record
ACGUGUCUAUUACUUUAUUAUUUCAUUCUUAAUCUCAUUAAUGUUUUUUCAUUCCAUUUCCACUAUAUAUACCCCCCACUUGCCAACCCUUUUUCUUACACAUAACUACUAUAUACUUACCAAUUCUCAUUCUUAUAACAUAUAUCCCUACCUGGUAAUGAAGACUUGUGUUGUUCUCCUUUUUGCCUCUCUACUGAUUGUCGGAUUUAUGGGUGAAGCCCAUGCAAAAAUCUCUAACCGUAGGCUACUUGGUCCUGAAGUGAACCGUAACGUUCCUGGAGGACCAAAUGCCUGUUAUCAUUGCCUCGCUGGGGGGAAAAUUCGCUCUCCUAACGCACCCCACCAAGUUCAUGCUGACUCUGAAAUCAAAUUUGAUCACAGCUCGUUCCGCCACUAGGUGUGUGCUAUACUGCUAGCUCAUCCUAUAGUCAGUGUGUGUUUCUCGAUCGCACUUGUGUGAUUCGUGUAUAUUGUGUAAGGACGAGGAGGUUGAGGUGUGUGGUUUGCUUGGAAAUUACUAGGUACGUGUAUAAUGUGAAACCAACAUGGGUUUCACGAUUUCAGGAGUUUUGUGAUUGUCUAAGUUGGUCAUGUGCGUGUUUGUGUGUAGUAAUUAAAUGAAGGUUUUUAAUAAAGCGUGGUUUGAUGAGCA